Molecule: long non-coding RNA, 292 nt
Filed under: Homo sapiens (human)
Lineage: Eukaryota; Metazoa; Chordata; Mammalia; Primates; Hominidae
Description: non-protein coding lnc-ITPR3-5:2
Source: RNAcentral
UUUCACCAUGUUGGCCAGGCUGGUCUGGAACUCCUGACCUCAAGUGACCUGCCCACCUCAGCUUCCCAAAGUGCUGGGCUUAUAGGCGUGAGCCACCAUGCCCGGCCCAUUAUUUUUAUUUAUUUUUUAUUUUUAUUAAUUUUUUUUUCUGACUCUGCUCAGAAAGAAUGCUAGCAGGUUUGAUGCCAGCAGAUGAUUAAACAAGUGCUUUCGUGUUUGCACUUGUUUGCACUUCCUCUCCUGCUUGCGUGCAAUUGUCAUGAAAACAUGCUCAGUCUAACCUGAGUCAUAU